RNAcentral lists this ribosomal RNA (253 nucleotides) under uncultured bacterium. RNAcentral describes it as "partial 16S ribosomal RNA". It matches the Rfam family "Bacterial small subunit ribosomal RNA", at positions 524 to 776 of the family's 1533-position model. The record is from RNAcentral.
UACGUAGGGUGCAAGCGUUGUCCGGAAUUAUUGGGCGUAAAGAGCUCGUAGGCGGUUUGUCGCGUCUGCUGUGAAAACUCGGGGCUCAACUCCGAGCUUGCAGUGGGUACGGGCAGACUAGAGUGCGGUAGGGGAGACUGGAAUUCUCGGUGUAGCGGUGAAAUGCGUAGAUAUCGAGAGGAACACCUGCGGCGAAGGCGGGUUGCUGGGCCGACACUGACGCUGAUGCGCGAAAGCCAGGGGAGCGAACGGG